GACGAACGCUGGCGGCGUGCUUAACACAUGCAAGUCGAACGGAAAGGCCCGGCUCUUGUGGGGUGCUCGAGUGGCGAACGGGUGAGUAUCACGUGAGUAACCUGCCCUUUACUGUGGGAUACCUUCAGGAAACUGGGGCGAAUACCGGAUAGAAGAUCCUGCUGCAUGGUGGGGGUGGGAGAGUUUCGCCGGUUCGGGAUGGACUCGCGGCUUAUCAGCUUGUUGGUGGGGUAGUGGCUUACCAAGGCAUUGACGGGUAGCCGGCCUGCGAGGGUGACCGGCCACAUUGGGACUGAGAUACGGCCCAGACUCCUACGGGAGGCAGCAGUGGGGAAUAUUGCGCAAUGGGCGGAAGCCUGAUGCAGCAACGCCGCGUGCGGGAUGACGGCUUUCAGGUUGUAACCCGCGUUCGCCUGUGACGAAGCGUGAGUGACGGUAAUGGGUAAAGAAGCACCGGCUAACUACGUG
This 468-nucleotide ribosomal RNA is filed under the name uncultured bacterium. Its description in RNAcentral is "partial 16S ribosomal RNA". It matches the Rfam family "Bacterial small subunit ribosomal RNA", at positions 28 to 507 of the family's 1533-position model. The record is from RNAcentral.